This 459-nucleotide ribosomal RNA is filed under the name uncultured bacterium. Its description in RNAcentral is "partial 16S ribosomal RNA". It matches the Rfam family "Bacterial small subunit ribosomal RNA", at positions 338 to 795 of the family's 1533-position model. The record is from RNAcentral.
CCUACGGGGGGCUGCAGUGAGGAAUAUUGGUCAAUGGCCGCAGGGCUGAACCAGCCAAGUCGCGUGAGGGAUGACGGUCCUAUGGAUUGUAAACCUCUUUUGUCAGGGAGCAAAGGGCGCCACGUGUGGCGUUUUGCGAGUACCUGAAGAAAAAGCAUCGGCUAACUCCGUGCCAGCAGCCGCGGUAAUACGGAGGAUGCGAGCGUUAUCCGGAUUUAUUGGGUUUAAAGGGUGCGCAGGCGGAAUGUCAAGUCAGCGGUAAAAUUUCGGGGCUCAACCCCGUCGUGCCGUUGAAACUGGCGUUCUUGAGUGAGCGAGAAGUAUGCGGAAUGCGUGGUGUAGCGGUGAAAUGCAUAGAUAUCUGGAGGAACAUCAGUGGCGAAGGCGACUAUCUGGCACAUAACUGACGCUGAGGAGCGAAAGCGUGGGUAGCAAACAGGAUUAGAUACCCGGGUAGUC